CCUACGGGAGGCAGCAGUGGGGAAUCUUGCACAAUGGGCGAAAGCCUGAUGCAGCAACGCCGCGUGCGGGAAGAAGGCCCUAGGGUUGUAAACCGCUUUCAGUAGGGAAGAAAAUGAUGGUACCUACAGAAGAAGGUGCGGCCAACUACGUGCCAGCAGCCGCGGUGACACGUAGGCACCAAGCGUUAUCCGGAUUUAUUGGGCGUAAAGAGCUCGUAGGCGGUUCGGUAAGUCGGGUGUGAAAACUCUGGGCUCAACCCAGAGAGGCCACCCGAUACUGCUGUGACUAGAGUGCGGUAGGGGAGCGGGGAAUUCCUGGUGUAGCGGUGAAAUGCGCAGAUAUCAGGAGGAACACCAGCGGCGAAGGCGCCGCUCUGGGCCGUAACUGACGCUGAGGAGCGAAAGCAUGGGUAGCAAACAGGAUUAGAUACCCUGGUAGUCCAUGCCGUAAACGUUGGGCACUAGGUGUGGGUCUCAACCAACGAGAUCCGCGCCGUCGCUAACGCAUUAAGUGCCCCGCCUGGGGAGUACGGUCGCGAAGCUAAAACGUCAAAUGAAAUUGACGG
This 566-nucleotide ribosomal RNA is filed under the name uncultured bacterium. RNAcentral describes it as "bacterial SSU rRNA". It matches the Rfam family "Bacterial small subunit ribosomal RNA", at positions 338 to 916 of the family's 1533-position model. The record is from RNAcentral.